ACAACGAGAAGCGCAAAGAGAAAGACAUCUGAUACGGACAAUUCUUUUCAGAGACAACAGCAUUUUUCUGAGUCAGAUUAUACCAGGCGAACAACCUUCUCCAUGAAAAACUGGACAGAAUCAGUGAGCCACAACAUGAUAUCAGCCAAUGACUCUGAGGAGGAGCUGCUGCACCAGUGGCCGUUGACUUAUACAGCACCGGCCCUUGAAGAGUUUGACGUGCCUCUAGACUCUGAGGCGAAGCUGUGGGACCAGCAGGCGUCCACCUCCAGUGCACCGGCCCUUGAAGAUUUUGACUUGUCUCUCGACUUUGAGGACGAGGACCUGUGUGAUGAGUGGGGGCUCCUCUUAAUACCACCGGAUCUUCAACAGGUAGACUCUUGGAAAAAUCUCCCAGUCAAAACAAAAAAAUCUUUCUGGAAGAGAAUAUCUGACUUUUUCCAACGGUUGAUGAAGUUUAAGAAAUAAGAUGCAAGCUGUCACAUUUGCUCAUCAAAACAUGAGCUUGAGUUGAUCAACCAUCAAACUGAAGACCUCUCUACUGUGGACAGCCAGUAGAUACCACAUGUCACCUGUGGUCGGGCAUGAGGGGGGCAGUACAUCACCAUUACCUCCCCCAGAAGAACACAUAUAACUUGCAGACAUUGCACAGGGAGCUAAUCAGAAAUGUUCCCCCCACUGUGUCAGUAGCUCUGAGCUGUAUGUGUGCCGUCUGUGUGGAGUCAACAUGUCCUCCCCAGGUCUCUGUGGGUCUCCUCCGGGUGCUCCGGUUUCCCCACAAUUUUUAAAAUAAUCAUUGAAAUUUGGAUUUGAAUUUUAAGAAAUAAAGAAAUAAAAUUCUUGUGCAAAU
Acanthopagrus latus (yellowfin seabream) is the source of this 850-nucleotide long non-coding RNA. RefSeq lists it as uncharacterized. The transcript has 2 exons. NCBI's taxonomy places the organism in Eukaryota, Metazoa, Chordata, Actinopteri, Spariformes, Sparidae. The record is from RefSeq and is a predicted model, not a curated record.